Molecule: ribosomal RNA, 423 nt
Filed under: Triticum aestivum (bread wheat)
Lineage: Eukaryota; Viridiplantae; Streptophyta; Magnoliopsida; Poales; Poaceae
Description: partial small subunit ribosomal RNA
Source: RNAcentral
AUGGCCACCCUAGACAGAGUAUUUGUUUCUGUAGAUUGGGAUGGUAUUUUUCCUGGGGCCUCUUUAAAAGCCCUACCCAGAGUGGGGAGUGAUCAUACUCCUCUGGUUUUAAAUACUACUUCUGGGACCCCGAAUGCUACUUCUAAAUUCUUUAGAUUUGAAAAAUGGUGGCUUAAUAUUCCUGGGUUUGAUGAUGUUAUUCAUAAAGCCUGGAACACUAAGUGCAAAGCCACCAAAGCCAUUGAUAUCUGGCAAUUUAAGAUUAGGACCAACAGGAAAGCUCUGAAAGGCUGGUGUGCGAAUUAUGAAGCUGACCAGAACAGGAAUAAGCAAGCCUUGGUGGCUGAGUAUAAUUGCUUAGAUAUACUAGCUGAAUCUCAACCUUUAUCUCCUAACUCUAAAAACAAAAUGAAAAAAAAAUAA